This is a long non-coding RNA of Polypterus senegalus (gray bichir), 577 nucleotides long. RefSeq lists it as uncharacterized. Lineage: Eukaryota; Metazoa; Chordata; Cladistia; Polypteriformes; Polypteridae. The transcript has 3 exons. The record is from RefSeq and is a predicted model, not a curated record.
UUCUUUAUUCAUACACACCAGGCAAAGGUUAAAUGACAGAGAAACACAGCCCUAGGACACUGCCCUUCAUUUGCACCGAGGGGCCCGUGUCCCCCAUUCGUGUAGGGCUUUAAGACUUUAGUUACAUAAACAUUAUCAAAUAAUCUAAGGGUGGAGGACAUCUGUUGGGGCCUGAUAAGUCCACACCCGUUAGACGCCCAAGAAGCAGCACUUGUUUUUGUACACUGUAAACAUGCAGGGUCUGCAUGACUCCUACCACACACCCCACAGAACAUGCUUUCUGUCACAUACAUCAGAUUUGUCAAGCACAAGUUAUUGACUGGUAUUUUUUAUUUUUCCACACAUGUUAUAAUUUCAACCUCCAAUAUAGGAAGAGACUGCAAGCACCCUCGAUUUUGUUCAAAGACGAUUUAUUGACAUCAACCCUGAACAAAUGUCCAAGGCCAAUCAAGGAAAAGCUACAUCCAAGAAGACUAGCCAAGUAGUCCAUAACAAGAAGAACGCAGUAAACCCUCAUUUUUCCUAUCCACUUUGUAAGUUUCUUUGUGGUGGUGGCCUGCGCCACCACCACCUACUC